UACGUAGGGUGCGAGCGUUGUCCGGAAUUAUUGGGCGUAAAGAGCUUGUAGGCGGUCUGUCGCGUCUGUUGUGAAAAUCCGGGGCUCAACCCCGGACUUGCAGUGGGUACGGGCAGACUAGAGUGUGGUAGGGGAGACUGGAAUUCCUGGUGUAGCGGUGAAAUGCGCAGAUAUCAGGAGGAACACCGAUGGCGAAGGCAGGUCUCUGGGCCACUACUGACGCUGAGAAGCGAAAGCAUGGGGAGCGAACAGG
Molecule: ribosomal RNA, 253 nt
Filed under: uncultured bacterium
Lineage: Bacteria
Description: partial 16S ribosomal RNA
Rfam family: Bacterial small subunit ribosomal RNA
Source: RNAcentral